CCCUGUGCUUUAGGAGAGCAAAA
This 23-nucleotide microRNA is filed under the name Gallus gallus (chicken). RNAcentral's name for it is "gga-miR-7470-3p". The record is from miRBase by way of RNAcentral. Lineage: Eukaryota; Metazoa; Chordata; Aves; Galliformes; Phasianidae.